GGAAUAUUGCACAAUGGGCGCAAGCCUGAUGCAGCCAUGCCGCGUGUAUGAAGAAGGCCUUCGGGUUGUAAAGUACUUUCAGCGAGGAGGAAGGCGGUGAGGUUAAUAACCUCAUCGAUUGACGUUACUCGCAGAAGAAGCACCGGCUAACUCCGUGCCAGCAGCCGCGGUAAUACGGAGGGUGCAAGCGUUAAUCGGAAUUACUGGGCGUAAAGCGUGCGCAGGCGGUUGUGCAAGACCGAUGUGAAAUCCCCGAGCUUAACUUGGGAAUUGCAUUGGUGACUGCACGGCUAGAGUGUGUCAGAGGGGGGUAGAAUUCCACGUGUAGCAGUGAAAUGCGUAGAGAUGUGGAGGAAUACCGAUGGCGAAGGCAGCCCCCUGGGAUAACACUGACGCUCAUGCACGAAAGCGUGGGGAGCAAACA
Molecule: ribosomal RNA, 424 nt
Filed under: uncultured bacterium
Lineage: Bacteria
Description: bacterial SSU rRNA
Rfam family: Bacterial small subunit ribosomal RNA
Source: RNAcentral